Molecule: ribosomal RNA, 56 nt
Filed under: Wirthiotrema duplomarginatum
Lineage: Eukaryota; Fungi; Ascomycota; Lecanoromycetes; Ostropales; Graphidaceae
Description: partial 18S ribosomal RNA
Source: RNAcentral
GCCGAAUGAACUUCGCUAAUAUUUGUCUUCUAGUGAACCUGCGGAAGGAUCAUUAA